This 201-nucleotide ribosomal RNA is filed under the name uncultured bacterium. RNAcentral's name for it is "partial 16S ribosomal RNA". It matches the Rfam family "Bacterial small subunit ribosomal RNA", at positions 1300 to 1500 of the family's 1533-position model. The record is from RNAcentral.
GCAGGCUGCAACCCGCCUGCAUGAAGCCGGAAUUGCUAGUAAUCGCGGAUCAGCAUGCCGCGGUGAAUACGUUCCCGGGCCUUGUACACACCGCCCGUCACACCAUGGGAGUCGGUAACACCCGAAGCCAGUAGCCCAACCGCAAGGAGGACGCUGUCGAAGGUGGGAUUGAUAACUGGGGUGAAGUCGUAACAAGGUACC